ACUCAAGUGGCGAACGGGUGAGUAACACGUGGGUGAUCUGCCCUGCACUUCGGGAUAAGCUUGGGAAACUGGGUCUAAUACCGGAUAGGAGCCAUCUUUAGUGUGGUGGUUGGAAAGUUUUUUCGGUGUAGGAUGAGCUCGCGGCCUAUCAGCUUGUUGGUGGGGUAAUGGCCUACCAAGGCGGCGACGGGUAGCCGGCCUGAGAGGGUGUACGGCCACAUUGGGACUGAGAUACGGCCCAG
This 242-nucleotide ribosomal RNA is filed under the name uncultured Actinomycetales bacterium. Its description in RNAcentral is "partial 16S ribosomal RNA". It matches the Rfam family "Bacterial small subunit ribosomal RNA", at positions 89 to 334 of the family's 1533-position model. Lineage: Bacteria; Bacillati; Actinomycetota; Actinomycetes; Actinomycetales. The record is from RNAcentral.